This 414-nucleotide long non-coding RNA is filed under the name Mus spicilegus (steppe mouse). RNAcentral's name for it is "lncRNA (ENSMSIG00000011821.1)". Lineage: Eukaryota; Metazoa; Chordata; Mammalia; Rodentia; Muridae. The record is from RNAcentral.
CAUCGCUGAUCAUGCAUAUCUCAUGUGAGAACAUCAGAGUUGGAACACAGCUUGAAUGGCUGUGUGGGUGGACGGAGGAGUCCACAUGCUGGGAGGACGAUGACGCUCUUCACCUGAACUCGGGUACUUUAGGUUAGAAGUUACUGCCUAGCAUUGUGGGUUAUAAGUUUUUCAAUGUUGCGUGCUUAAAAACAUUCUGCAAAACGUAAAAUGUCUCCUCCAUGUGGUUUGAGAUCUUAAGGAAGCUCUUAAAUAUUGCCACGAUGAUGUGAAAUGAGACGACCUUCCCAGUACCUGUCCUCCGCUGUUUUCUGCCUAAAUGAUGUUCACCCUGGUGGCAGGCUCCAAAUCAAGAAGCAGCACGGAAAUGCACGAGGAGCAGAGGAAGGAUGUGGUCCAUCCGGGACAGGCUGA